This 152-nucleotide ribosomal RNA is filed under the name uncultured bacterium. RNAcentral describes it as "partial 16S ribosomal RNA". It matches the Rfam family "Bacterial small subunit ribosomal RNA", at positions 356 to 504 of the family's 1533-position model. The record is from RNAcentral.
GAGGAAUAUUGGUCAAUGGGCUUACGCCUGAACCAGCCAAGUCGCGUGAGGGAAGACUGCCCUAUGGGUUGUAAACCUCUUUUGUCAGGGAGCAACGCCGGCUACGUGUAGCCGGACUGAGAGUACCUGAAGAAAAAGCAUCGGCUAACUCC